Molecule: ribosomal RNA, 374 nt
Filed under: uncultured organism
Description: partial 16S ribosomal RNA
Rfam family: Bacterial small subunit ribosomal RNA
Source: RNAcentral
GUAGGUGGCGAGCGUUGUCCGGAAUUAUUGGGCGUAAAGCGCGCGCAGGCGGUUCUUUAAGUCUGAUGUGAAAGCCCACGGCUCAACCGUGGAGGGUCAUUGGAAACUGGAGAACUUGAGUACAGAAGAGGAAAGCGGAAUUCCACGUGUAGCGGUGAAAUGCGUGGAGAUGUGGAGGAACACCAGUGGCGAAGGCGGCUUUUCUGGUCUGUAACUGACGCUGAGGCGCGAAAGCGUGGGGAGCAAACAGGGAUUAGAUACCCUGGUAGUCCACGCCGUAAACGAUGAGUGCUAAGUGUUAGGGGGUUUCCGCCCCCUUAGUGCUGCAGCUAACGCAUUAAGCACUCCGCCUGGGGAGUACGGCCGCAAGGCUG